GCUCAGGGAUGAACGCUAGCGGCAGGCUUAAUACAUGCAAGUCGUGGGGCAGCAGGUCCCGAGCAAUCGGGAUGCUGGCGACCGGCAAACGGGUGCGGAACACGUACACAACCUUCCUUUAAGUGGGGAAUAGCCCGGGGAAACCCGGAUUAAUACCCCGUAAUAUAAUGAGGUGGCAUCACUUUAUUAUUAUAGCUCCGGCGCUUGAAGAUGGGUGUGCGGCUGAUUAGGCAGUUGGCGGGGUAACGGCCCACCAAACCUACGAUCAGUAACUGGUGUGAGAGCACGACCAGUCACACGGGCACCGAGACACGGGCCCGACUCCUACGGGAGGCAGCAGUAAGGAAUAUUGGUCAAUGGACGCAAGUCUGAACCAGCCAUGCCGCGUGGAGGAUGAAGGUCCUCUGGAUUGUAAACUUCUUUUAUCUGGGAAGAAACCCAAGAUUUCUAUUUUGGUUGACGGUACCAGAUGAAUAAGCACCGGCUAACUCCGUGCCAGCAGCCGCGGUAAUACGGAGGGUGCAAGCGUUAUCCGGAUUCACUGGGUUUAAAGGGUGCGUAGGUGGGUUGGUAAGUCAGUGGUGAAAUCUCCAGGCUUAACUUGGAAACUGCCAUUGAUACUAUUAAUCUUGAAUACCGUGGAGGUCAGCGGAAUAUGUCAUGUAGCGGUGAAAUGCUUAGAUAUGACAUAGAACACCAAUUGCGAAGGCAGCUGGCUACACGAAUAUUGACACUGAUGCACGAAAGCGUGGGGAUCAAACAGGAUUAGAUACCCUGGUAGUCCACGCCCUAAACGAUGGAUACUCGACAUACGCGAUAUACUGUGUGUGUCUGAGCGAAAGCAUUAAGUAUCCCACCUGGGAAGUA
RNAcentral lists this ribosomal RNA (867 nucleotides) under uncultured bacterium. RNAcentral's name for it is "bacterial SSU rRNA". It matches the Rfam family "Bacterial small subunit ribosomal RNA", at positions 22 to 882 of the family's 1533-position model. The record is from RNAcentral.